UGAGUAACCUGCCCUUAACUCUGGGAUAAGCCUGGGAAACUGGGUCUAAUACCGGAUAUGACUCCUCAUCGCAUGGGUGGGGGGUGGAAAGCUUUAUUGUGGUUUUGGAUGGACUCGCGGCCUAUCAGCUUGUUGGUGAGGUAAUGGCUCACCAAGGCGACGACGGGUAGCCGGCCUGAGGAGGGUGACCGGCCACACUGGGACUGAGACACGGCCCAGACCUCCGUACGGGGAGCAG
This 238-nucleotide ribosomal RNA is filed under the name uncultured bacterium. RNAcentral describes it as "partial 16S ribosomal RNA". It matches the Rfam family "Bacterial small subunit ribosomal RNA", at positions 118 to 351 of the family's 1533-position model. The record is from RNAcentral.